UUUAAAUGUAUAUUAUUAUGCUAAAUUAGUAUUAGUUAUGUUCUUGAAAAUUAAAGAUUUUGGCGGUAUUUUAGUCUAUUCAGAGGAACCUGUUCUAUAAUUGAUAAUCCACGAUUUAAUUUACUUUUUUUAUUAGCUUACAUAUCGUCGUAAUUUGAGUAUUUUAUAAGAAUUUUAAUAUUCAAGAUUUAUUAUAAUAAAAUAAAUCAGAUCAAGGUGUAGUUUAUACAGAAGAAGAAAUGGGUUACAUUAAAAAAAAUUAAGGAUUAUUAUUUUUAAAGUAAUAUAAAUUUGGAUUUGAAAGUAAUUUUAAUUAAUUAAUUAAUUUGAUUUUAGCUCUAAAAUAUGC
RNAcentral lists this ribosomal RNA (349 nucleotides) under Gonioctena kamikawai. Its description in RNAcentral is "partial 12S ribosomal RNA". Lineage: Eukaryota; Metazoa; Arthropoda; Insecta; Coleoptera; Chrysomelidae. The record is from RNAcentral.